GUCUUCCUACGGGGCGCAGCAGUGAGGAAUAUUGGUCAAUGGGCGGAAGCCUGAACCAGCCAAGUCGCGUGAGGGAAUAAGGCCCUACGGGUCGUAAACCUCUUUUGCCGGGGAGCGGGGGCCGGGACGCGUCCCGGCCCGGAGAGUACCCGGAGAAAAAGCAUCGGCUAACUCCGUGCCAGCAGCCGCGGUAAUACGGAGGAUGCGAGCGUUAUCCGGAUUUAUUGGGUUUAAAGGGUGCGUAGGCGGGCUUUUAAGUCAGCGGGAAAAAUUCGGGGCUCAACCCCGUCCGGCCGGUGAACCUG
RNAcentral lists this ribosomal RNA (305 nucleotides) under uncultured bacterium. Its description in RNAcentral is "bacterial SSU rRNA". It matches the Rfam family "Bacterial small subunit ribosomal RNA", at positions 333 to 635 of the family's 1533-position model. The record is from RNAcentral.